This 424-nucleotide ribosomal RNA is filed under the name uncultured marine bacterium. RNAcentral describes it as "bacterial SSU rRNA". It matches the Rfam family "Bacterial small subunit ribosomal RNA", at positions 383 to 804 of the family's 1533-position model. The record is from RNAcentral.
UUGACCCAUCCAUUCCGCGUGCGGGUUGACUUAACUUAUGAGUUGUAAUCUGCUUUUUUACAGGAAGAAAUUUUCCACGUGUGGAUAACUGACGUUACUGUAAGAAUAAGGACCGUUUUAUUCGUGCCAGCAGCCGCGUUAUUUCGGAGGUUUCCAAGCGUUUUCCGGAAUCAUUUGGUUUAAAUGGUCCGUAGUCGGUCAAUUAUGUCAGAGGUGAAAUCCCACAGCUCAUUUGUGGAACUGCCUUUGAUACUGGUUGUCUUGAGUUAUAGUGAAGUAGAUAGAAUAUGUAGUGUAGCGGUGAAAUGCAUAGAUAUAACAUAGAAUACCGAUUGUGAAGGCAGUUUACUAACUGUACAUUGACGGUAAUGGACGAAAGCGUGGGGAGCGAACAGGAUUUGAUACCGUGGUAGUCCACGCCGUA